AGUGAAUGCUGGCGGUAGGCCUAACACAUGCAAGUCGAACGGCAGCACAGUAAGAGCUUGCUCUUACGGGUGGCGAGUGGCGGACGGGUGAGGAAUACAUCGGAAUCUACUUUUUCGUGGGGGAUAACGUAGGGAAACUUACGCUAAUACCGCAUACGACCUACGGGUGAAAGCAGGGGAUCUUCGGACCUUGCGCGAUUGAAUGAGCCGAUGUCGGAUUAGCUAGUUGGCGGGGUAAAGGCCCACCAAGGCGACGAUCCGUAGCUGGUCUGAGAGGAUGAUCGGCCACACUGGAACUGAGACACGGUCCAGACUCCUACGGGAGGCAGCAGUGGGGAAUAUUGGACAAUGGGCGCAAGCCUGAUCCAGCCAUACCGCGUGGGUGAAGAAGGCCUUCGGGUUGUAAAGCCCUUUUGUUGGGAAAGAAAAGCAGCAGGUUAAUACCCCGCUGUUCUGACGGUACCCAAAGAAUAAGCACCGGCUAACUUCGUG
Molecule: ribosomal RNA, 492 nt
Filed under: uncultured bacterium
Lineage: Bacteria
Description: partial 16S ribosomal RNA
Rfam family: Bacterial small subunit ribosomal RNA
Source: RNAcentral